Equus asinus (donkey) is the source of this 2154-nucleotide long non-coding RNA. NCBI's taxonomy places the organism in Eukaryota, Metazoa, Chordata, Mammalia, Perissodactyla, Equidae. The record is from Ensembl.
CGAAGAUGGGCAAGAGAGGCUGGCUUCAGGUGGCAAACUUUAAGCAAAAGAAACACACAAGGGCGUGGAGACCUGGGGAAAAAGCAGCACUGAGAAAUCUACCCUCUGAAACUGACGAGGAUGGGCAACAGAGGCUACCUCAGGUGGCAAUCGUUAAGCAAAAGAAACACACAAGGGCGUGGAGACCUGGGGAAAAAGCAACACGGAGAAAUCCACCCUCUGAAACUGAGGAAGAUGGGCAAGAGAGGCUAGCUCAGGUGGCAAUCGUUAAGCAAAAACAAAACCCAAAGGCGUGGAGACCUGGGGAAAAAGCAACCCUGAAAUAUCUACCCUCUGAAACUGAGGAAGAUGGGCAAGAGAGGCUGGCUUCAGGUGGCAAACUUUAAGCAAAAGAAACACACAAGGGCGUGGAGACCUGGGGAAAAAGCAACACGGAGAAAUCCACCCUCUGAAACUGAGGAAGAUGGGCAAGAGAGGCUAGCUCAGGUGGCAAUCGUUAAGCAAAAGAAACACACAAGGGCGUGGAGACCUGGGGAAAAAGCCACACGGAGAAAUCCACCCUCUGAAACUGAAGAAGAUGGGCAACAGAGGCUAGCUCAGGUGGCAAUCUUUAAGCAAAAAAAAUAAAAUAAAAAAAUACAAUGGCGAGGAGACCCGGUCAAAAAGCAACCCUGAAAAAGGUACCCUCUGAAACUGAGGAAGCAGGGCAACAAUGCCUAGCUCAGGUGACAAUCUUUAAGCAAAAGAAACACACAAGGGCGUGGAGACCUGGGGAAAAAGCAACACGGAGAAAUCCACCCUCUGAAACUGAGGAAGAUGGGCAACAGAGGCUACCUCAGGUGGCAAUCGUUAAGCAAAAAAACCCAAAGUCGUGGAGACCUGGGGAAAAAGCAACCCUGAAAUAUCUACCCUCUGAAACUGAGGAAGAUGGGCAAAGAGGCUCGCUUCAGGUGGCAAACUUUAAACAAAAGAAACACACAAGGGCGUGGAGACCUGGGGAAAAAGCAACACUGAGAAAUCCACCCUCUGAAACUGAGGAAGAUGGGCAAGAGAGGCUAGCUCAGGUGGCAAUCGUUAAGCAAAAACAAAACCCAAAGGCGUGGAGACCUGGGGAAAAAAGCAACCCUGAAAUAUCUACCCUCUGAAACUGAGGAAGAUGGGCAAGAGAGGCUGGCUUCAGGUGGCAAACUUUAAGCAAAAGAAACACACAAGGGCGUGGAGACCUGGGGAAAAAGCAGCACUGAGAAAUCUACCCUCUGAAACUGACGAGGAUGGGCAACAGAGGCUACCUCAGGUGGCAAUCGUUAAGCAAAAGAAACACACAAGGGCGUGGAGACCUGGGGAAAAAGCAACACGGAGAAAUCCACCCUCUGAAACUGAGGAAGAAGAUGGGCAACAGAGGCUAGCUCAGGUGGCAAUCGUUAAGCAAAAACAAAACACAAAGGCGUGGAGACCUGGGGAAAAAGCAACCCUGAAAUAUCUACCCUCUGAAACUGAGGAAGAUGGGCAAGAGAGGCUGGCUUCAGGUGGCAAUCUUUAAGCAAAAGAAACACACAAGGGCGUGGAGACCUGGGGAAAAAGCAACACGGAGAAAUCCACCCUCUGAAACUGAGGAAGAUGGGCAAGAGAGGCUACCUCAGGUGGCAAUCCUUAAGCAAAAACAAAGCACAAAGGCGUGGAGCCCUGGGGACAAAGCAACCCUGAAAUAUCUACCCUCUGAAACUGAGGAACAUGGGCAAGAGAGGCUAGCUCAGGUGGCAAUCGUUAAGCAAAAACAAAACCCAAAGGCGUGGAGACCUGGGGAAAAAGCAACCCUGAAAUAUCUACCCUCUGAAACUGAGGAAGAUGGGCAAGAGAGGCUGGCUUCAGGUGGCAAACUUUAAGCAAAAGAAACACACAAGGGCGUGGAGACCUGGGGAAAAAGCAGCACUGAGAAAUCUACCCUCUGAAACCGAAGAAGAUGGGCAACAGAGGCUAGCUCAGGUGGCAAUCUUUAAGCAAAAAAAAUAAAAUAAAAAAAUACAAUGGCGAGGAGACCCGGUCAAAAAGCAACCCUGAAAAAGGUACCCUCUGAAACUGAGGAAGCAGGGCAACAGUGCCUAGCUCAGGUGACAAUCUUUAAGCAAAAAAAAAAAAAAAAAAAAAAAAAAAAAA